GUCCAGACUCCUACGGGAGGCAGCAGUGGGGGAUAUUGCACAAUGGGGGAAACCCUGAUGCAGCGACGCCGCGUGGGCGAAGAAGUAUUUCGGCAUGUAAAGCCCUAUCAGCAGGGAAGAAGAAAUGACGGUACCUGAGUAAGAAGCACCGGCUAAAUACGUGCCAGCAGCCGCGGUAAUACGUAUGGUGCAAGCGUUAUCCGGAUUUACUGGGUGUAAAGGGAGCGCAGGCGGCACGGCAAGCCUGAUGUGAAAGCCCGCGGCCCAACCGCGGGACUGCAUUGGGAACUACCGGGCUGGAGUGCCGGAGAGGUAGGCGGAAUUCCUAGUGUAGCGGUGAAAUGCGUAGAUAUAAGGAAGAACACCAGUGGCGAAGGCGGAUGACUGGACGGCAACUGACGGUGAGGCGCGAAAGCGUGGGGAGCAAACAGGAUUAGAUACCCCAGUACC
Molecule: ribosomal RNA, 450 nt
Filed under: uncultured bacterium
Lineage: Bacteria
Description: bacterial SSU rRNA
Rfam family: Bacterial small subunit ribosomal RNA
Source: RNAcentral